UUUUAGAUUCGAAUCUGAGAUUCGAAUCUAACUUAUUCUCAGUGCAUCAUGUGGCAUUCUGUAUUGUUUCUUGUUUAUGAGUAUCUAUUUUUUUUAUUGGAUAAUGAUGUCACGUGAUUGUUCGUGAUAGGCCAGAAUUCAAAUGAACUAAUACGUGAUUAUUUAGUUCAAUUAUUGUUUAAAACGGCGUUUAAUUACCGCCUCCAACUUAGAUGGUUGAAAUGGCUAUCUGCAAUUUUCUCGACAGGCGGAUGUACGAGUGUAAUGAGUGAGAAAGAUUUUGAAAGUGAUUGAAUUUAUCAGUGUAGCAUUCUACGUUGAAAAAUAAAACAAAAACUACAAUUGGCGAUUAACAUCUUUUUAUUUUUGUAUAUAACGAACCAUUAUAAGGUUUAUAUUUUCUUAAUUUAGCACAGCAAUCCCUUUGAGAAGUAUGCAUCUAAAUUUUUUAACUUUGUAUGUAGUAUGUAUUUUCUGCAAAGUCAAAUGCAUACUAUUUCAUUUUAUAGUGCCUUUGUUACAAAUUAUUUAACUUUACAAACAAAUUAUUGUGUCCGUUCCGAAAUAAGACAUUCAGUGAUAUAAGUAGUUACUUCAUGUAUUGAUUUUGUAAUGAGGUUUCACUAAAUGGUAAAGUUUUUUGACUUUAUCUCUGCCUCAUCUGUUCUGGAAUAUUUGAGUUAAUAAUACUUGCUGCUUUGCAGACCUUGUAAGAUGUUUUAAAACUAGAAUUUCUAUUACACCUCUUACAAAUAAACAGUUAAAAUGUUUAUGUUUUAAUGAGUUGAGCACAAGUAGGUACGGUCUCAGGCACAGGUUGGUGCCUGUCAAUAGAAGCAAACACAAUUUGCAUUAACACAUUUUGUGCAGAAGCAUUAUCACAACUUUGAUUUUACAUGUAUGUACCAGCAUAGAAGUGCUCAUACUCAGGGUUGCUAUGGUCAGGGAUUUCCAUGUACCCUUGAAAAGUCAGGGAAAUCACAAGAAUUUCUGGAAUUUACAAUGUAUAAUAUGAACCAACAUACUUUCCUGCACAAUGUUAAAAUGUAAAUUUUUUAAUGUUGUUUAAGAAAACAUUUAUUUCUUCUGUAAUUUUUAAUUGACACGACACAAAGCAGAUGGACAAGACGACAUUUAACAAACCAUACUAGACCUCAUUGUACAUAUUUACAAAAGAAAGUAACAUGUAUGAGACUAAGAUGUUUUAUUGAGACGUUUAGGUUUGUACUGCAAUAUUAUUCGCACAUUGUUUCAUAUUUAACAAAUAAUCAAUUAUGAUUAAAAGUACUUUUAAAAUUUGAUGUUAUAGUUGUGUGUUAGUUCAAUUGUGGUGCUACACAUAUUAGUAUAAACAAUUCAUGUUUUGGUUUAUUUUGGCGGUUAAUUUGUUCUAUUUGAAGUACUAUUGCUCAAAGUUAUACCAUUCAUCUCAAAGUAAACUUAAGCUAAGUAAUACUAAGAGACAAACUUUCUGAAAGGUCAUGUCUUAUUACUAAUUAUGUGAUCGUGCUGAAAAUGUGCGGGAUAAAAAUUGCAGUUUAACAAUUUUUUAAAAUAAGUUACCAAUUUCAGCAACAAUCAUAUGUAAUGUCCUAGAAAACCUGGAAAAGUCAGGAAAUUUAAUGCCAAAAAUAUGUUUAGCAACCCUGACGCUCCUUUCUUUAAUAUCACAUUUCUUGCCUGCAGGAUAUUUGCAAUGCUUUUCAAUUACUUACAUAAUAUGUAUCUAUAUUACAUUUUUGUAAUAAUUAUCAUUCAUUACCUUUCUGGACCAAUUUCAAACCUUCAAAGUCUGGGAUUAAGCAUUGCAUUUAUUUGUUUUUCAUUUGCUAGCUUUCCUCAUGAAAACCACUGGCAGAAACAUAUGCAGAUUGUGUGGCAGCUGUGUUAUCAAUUCAAAUACUGAGUAAAUACAUUCAAAAGUUUUUUUGGAAGACUAUUUUAUAUUAAACUGUUGCAGGUGGAUAUAGGAAAUUUAUAGUGGUAACGGUGUGGAAAAGAUCAACAGGUUUAUACAUCUCAUAUUCAUUUCUAUACAUGCAAAAAUAGUUAAUAUUCACACUGCUGAUAUUUUAAUUUCUAUAUAUACAUACUUAUUUCUUUUACACGUACUUUGAAGUGUAAGUUUAUCGUGAUAUAUUAAUUAAAUAAUUGAAACUUCUUUUUACAACUCUCCAGCACUAUGCGAAAAGGACUGUAGAAAACAACAGUUCCACAUAUGUUAUAGAGCCAAAAACUGUUAAGUCUUGUGUCUCGUCUGCAAGAGAAGUGGUUGGGAGCUUUUCCUGUAUCUGCUUCUGCCCAGAUAAAUGUACCACGAUGCCGACCGACCGCCGACAAACCCUCUACACCAGUUGUGGCCAAAAACAUGACACCAGAUGCAAGCUCCACCGAGUAGUAGACAGCAGCUUCCCCUCUUAGUGACCUGGAACUAUGGGGUGUCUGCAGUCCUCUGUAGUCACUUUUUAAAACAAAAGUUCCAAUUUUAGACAUCUAACAUGAAUUGCUAUGGUGACAACGUUGUGCAUAAUUGUGGCUGACGAUGCAAAAGACGACAAAGAGAGAUAAAGGCAGAUGGACUACUAAUUACAAUAAAACAUUAAGAUUGUAGUGUGUGUACUCACAGGUAACCACUCUGACAGAACACUUGACACAGGUGGAUGACAUGUUUUGCGCGGAAUGUCUGUUCACAAUCUAUGAGUUGGUGUUGUCUGUCUGUGAGUGCUUACGUGUGAGUACUCGGCUACUCACACUACUAUCUUAAUGUUAUGUAGUGUUAUAAAAAACAAUAAAAUAAGUAAUUGUAACAUACAUAGUACAUGCAUGAAUUUUCCAAGAAUAAUGAAAGAAAUGUGUCAAGAUAAUAGAGGUGUGAAUGGGUUAAAGCAUUUAACAUUAUAAAGGGACUAAAGAAAUGUCAACUUAAUACAAAGGAAAACUAUAUAACAGGGUAGUUGUAGCUUUAAAAAUGGGAUUAGGGACUAAAAGAAACCAACUUCGUUACCAGGAAAAUAUUACAAGUGGGAACAUUGCAUUAGCAUUACACUGUAUUCAAUUGAGCAUGAUGCAUGAUGUUCAAUGUUACCUACUUCUCCAUAAUUUGCACAAAUUUUUGCUGCGGAAUUAAUGGUGAAAAUCAUGGAAAUACAUUGAAUGUAUUAGUAUAUAUUUAUUUCUGACCAAUAUUGUAACCCAUUGGACUUACCAACUUUUUGACAGUCUGUUUUCCUAUGUCCUAAGUGUUGUUAUGGUAUAUUUUAAAAUACAGGAAAAUAAUUAUCAUGCACUGCCAUACAAUACAAUUAUAAUGAAUAGUGGCAAAUACUUCACAGCUAAGGGAAUAGUUUUGCAUAUUGCAAUAAACUAAUUUUGUAGAGAAUAAAACCUGAAAAUUUUUAUUUUUUUAUGUUAAUUUAACUGCCGGCACACUUUAUAUUAACUGUACUGUAAAAUGGGAAGGGGUAGAGAUAAUUGAUCUGAAGGCUUAUUUUUCUAACAAAUCAAACACAAAUUUAGGUAUAAGACAUUUUAGAAAUUCAUUAUUGGAUUUAUGACUUUGUGUAAGAGGUACGUUUUAGGUAUAGCAAGUAUAGUUUUUAAGAUUUAACUUAUAAAUUUAUUAGAAAUUUUUGACAAGUUAAUAUUAACCCUUUCCUGCCUGGUGGUACUUGUGAGUCCCACAAUGUUUGAAGCCCCAUAGAAAUAGUGUGUGCAUGUUUGAAACCACAUGCUGACUGUCGGGACCUCUGGGUCCCUGUAUAGCUCCGCUCUGCCAGUUGUCGAAGAAGUUCGAUUGACAGCCAAGAGGUUGCAGCACUAAAACGGCAGCACUGCACCAGUCUGGAGCGCCCUUUUUUUUGUUUGUUGAGCUGGACAUAUGAUAAAUGCCUGUCAGGACUUAAAAGUCCCAUCAUUAAAAAAAAUAUUAAAUAUAAAUAAAAAA
Molecule: long non-coding RNA, 3943 nt
Organism: Bacillus rossius redtenbacheri
Lineage: Eukaryota; Metazoa; Arthropoda; Insecta; Phasmatodea; Bacillidae
Exons: 2
Source: RefSeq, a predicted model, not a curated record